AGCAUAUCACUAAGCGGAGGAAAAGAAACCAACCGGGAUUCCCUCAGUAGCGGCGAGCGAAGCGGGAAGAGCCCAUCGCCGAAUCCCCCGUCGGACCUCGGCGGUUGGGAACUGUGGCGUAAGGGUCCGACUCGUCGGGCGUCUGACCUCCGAACAAGUCCCGCGGGACAGGUGUGCUCCCAGAGUGGGUGUGAGGCCUUUAGUUCGGUUGGGUCUCUGCCGGCGCAGUCGGUACCUAGAGUCGAGUUGCUUGGGAUCGCAGCUCAAAGUGGGUGGUAAGCUCCAUCUAAGGCUAAAUACUGCACGAGUCCGAUAGCGAACAAGUACCGUGAGGG
Molecule: ribosomal RNA, 335 nt
Filed under: Notoacmea petterdi
Lineage: Eukaryota; Metazoa; Mollusca; Gastropoda; Acmaeidae
Description: eukaryotic LSU rRNA
Rfam family: Eukaryotic large subunit ribosomal RNA
Source: RNAcentral